This 897-nucleotide ribosomal RNA is filed under the name uncultured Actinomycetes bacterium. RNAcentral describes it as "bacterial SSU rRNA". It matches the Rfam family "Bacterial small subunit ribosomal RNA", at positions 9 to 920 of the family's 1533-position model. Lineage: Bacteria; Bacillati; Actinomycetota; Actinomycetes. The record is from RNAcentral.
GAGUUUGAUCAUGGCUCAGGACGAACGCUGGCGGCGUGCCUAACACAUGCAAGUCGAACGAGAACCCGGAGCUUGCUCCGGGGGACAGUGGCGAACGGGUGAGUAACACGUGAGAAACCUGCCCCAGAGACCGGGACAACCAUUGGAAACGAUGGCUAAUACCGGAUGCCCUCACAUGGUCGCAUGGCCGAGUGAGGAAAUGCUCAGGUGCUUUGGGAGGGUCUCGCGGCCUAUCAGCUAGUUGGUGAGGUAACGGCUCACCAAGGCAUCGACGGGUAGCUGGUCUGAGAGGACGAUCAGCCACACUGGGACUGAGACACGGCCCAGACUCCUACGGGAGGCAGCAGUGGGGAAUAUUGCGCAAUGGGCGAGAGCCUGACGCAGCAACGCCGCGUGUGGGAUGACAGCUUUCGGGUUGUAAACCACUUUCAGUGACGACGAAAAUGACGGUAGUCACAGAAGAAGGUCCGGCCAACUACGUGCCAGCAGCCGCGGUAACACGUAGGGACCAAGCGUUGUCCGGAUUUAUUAGGCGUAAAGAGCUCGUAGGCGGUUUCGUAAGUCGGAUGUGAAAACUCAGGGCUCAACCCUGAGACGCCAUCUGAUACUGCGAUGACUAGAGUCCGGUAGGGGAGCAUGGAAUUCCUGGUGUAGCGGUGGAAUGCGCAGAUAUCAGGAGGAACACCAAUGGCGAAGGCAGUGCUCUGGGCCGGUACUGACGCUGAGGAGCGAAAGCAUGGGGAGCAAACAGGAUUAGAUACCCUGGUAGUCCAUGCCGUAAACGUUGGGCACUAGGUGUGGGGUCUUCUAACGGAUUCCGUGCCGUAGCUAACGCAUUAAGUGCCCCGCCUGGGGAGUACGGCCGCAAGGCUAAAACUCAAAGGAAUUGACGGGGGC